GCCACGGUGGUCUAGCGGUUAGAACGCUGGCCUUGUAAUCCUGGGGUCUCGGGUUCGAUUCCCGGUGGUGCUC
Non-coding RNA from Zootermopsis nevadensis, 73 nucleotides. NCBI's taxonomy places the organism in Eukaryota, Metazoa, Arthropoda, Insecta, Blattodea, Termopsidae. The record is from Rfam.